ACGCUGGCGGCGUGCCUAAUACAUGCAAGUCGAACGGACAAGUAAGAGCCUGCUCUUAUGAGUUAGUGGCGCACGGGUGAGUAAUGUAUAGCUAAUCUGCCCUACACUAGAGGACAACAGUUGGAAACGACUGCUAAUACUCUAUACUCCUCUCUAGCAUAAGUUAGAUAGGGAAAGUUUUUCGGUGUAGGAUGAGGCUAUAUUGUAUCAGCUAGUUGGUGGGGUAAUGGCUCACCAAGGCUAUGACGCAUAACUGGUCUGAGAGGAUGAUCAGUCACACUGGAACUGAGACACGGUCCAGACUCCUACGGGAGGCAGCAGUAGGGAAUAUUGCUCAAUGGGGGAAACCCUGAAGCAGCAACGCCGCGUGGAGGAUGACACUUUUCGGAGCGUAAACUCCUUUUGUUAGGGAAGAACAAUGACGGUACCUAACGAAUAAGCACCGGCUAACUCCGUGCCAGCAGCCGCGGUAAUACGGAGGGUGCAAGCGUUACUCGGAAUCACUGGGCGUAAAGGACGCGUAGGCGGAUUAUCAAGUCUCUUGUGAAAUCCUAUGGCUUAACCAUAGAACUGCUUGGGAAACUGAUAAUCUAGAGUGAGGGAGAGGCAGAUGGAAUUGGUGGUGUAGGGGUAAAAUCCGUAGAGAUCACCAGGAAUACCCAUUGCGAAGGCGAUCUGCUGGAACUCAACUGACGCUAAUGCGUGAAAGCGUGGGGAGCAAACAGGAUUAGAUACCCUGGUAGUCCACGCCCUAAACGAUGUAUACUAGUUGUUGCUAAGCUAGUCUUGGCAGUAAUGCACCUAACGGAUUAAGUAUACCGCCUGGGGAGUACGGUCGCAAGAUUAAAACUCAAAGGAAUAGACGGGGACCCGCACAAGCGGUGGAGCAUGUGGUUUAAUUCGAAGAUACGCGAAGAACCUUACCCG
This 927-nucleotide ribosomal RNA is filed under the name uncultured bacterium. Its description in RNAcentral is "bacterial SSU rRNA". It matches the Rfam family "Bacterial small subunit ribosomal RNA", at positions 33 to 977 of the family's 1533-position model. The record is from RNAcentral.